CCCUGUUUGAUUUUCAAUUUAGGGUUAAUUUCAUACAGGUCUAUGUAAAUAUAGUGAAUUGUAAAUAUAUCUCUAUAAAAUUUAAUUUCAUAUAUUGUUUCUGUAAAAGUCUUGAUAUUUUUAAAUAUGUCACUGCCGUUAGGAUCCGUUAGAAAAAAAAUUAGGUAACCAUAGGUAAAAUACUCAACUCUAAUUAAUUAAUGAGAUGAAUUGAUUUUUUUACCCUUCUUCAAUUAAUAGUUAGAAUUUUUGGAGGGACAUAUUUGUGAUUGCAAAAAGAACAUUUCGCAUAUGAAAUAAACAAUAUUUUAACGGUAACAAAUCAGCAGCACAUAUAUGAAAAUAUUAGAACUUUUGUAGGAACAAUAUAUAAAAGUUUAAUUUUGUAAGGAUAUAUUUAUAAUUCACUAUAUUUACAACGAUCUGUAUGAAAUUAACCCUUAAAUUUUAUUCGGUGCUUAUAGGUUUUUGAACUUUGGAUGAAAGUUUAUAGGGUUAAGAUGAUAGUGGUUUUCUGGAAUUCAGUAGAUAGUUAGUGGAAUAACAUGAUUUAAGAAAUAGAAUUGGUCAAAGAGAUAGAUAUAUUAGUGAAAAAAUUGAUAGUACUAAAUAUUUGAUACUAUUAAAAGCACCAUAACCAGACUAUAUAUAAAUUUAUUUUCUAGAAGUUUCAAAUACUCUAGAUCAUAUUUAACGGAGUGGAUUGUCGAUUCGGAAGCUCAGAUCAUUGAAAAAUACUUAUUAGUACGAAGUGCUCUAUACUCAUAAGAGUAUAGUAGUCCUAGCCAUAUAGAGUCCGGCUACUAUACUAUUAUGAGUACGAUCGUCCUCGUACUCAUAAGUUGCUUUCGAUGAUAGGGCUUCUGAAUCGACGAUCCACACCGUUAAACGUUAUCUGAAGCAUUUAAAACGUUUAGAAAUCAAAUUUUAUAAUUUUUCGACAUCAUUUACCUUACGAUCAAAAGGUCACAAAAUUGACAAUUUUUAACGACCAGUAUGAGAUAUUUGCUAGUUUAACUGUGUAAAAGAAUUAAAAUUAGUUGAAUUUUUGAUAGAAAAUUCUAUUAACUAUAUAGAUAAAGAUCAAUAAUUCCGAUCUUAAAUUGAAGAAUCCGAUCAUCCAUUUUUAAGGCGUCGUUCGAUUUUGACCGUUUAUUUUAUACCCGCUUGAUGAACUUUAUUAUGAUUUCGAAAAGUUAUGAAAUUUAUUUUCUAGAAGUUUCAAAUACUCUAGAUUAUAUUUAACAGAGUGGAUCGUCGAUUCGGAAGCUCAGAUCAUUGAAAACAACUUAUUAGUAUGAAGUGCUCUAUACUCAUAAGAGCUUCCAAAUCAACGAUCGGCACCGUUGAACAUGAUCUAGACCAUUUAAAUUAUCUAGAAAUCAAAUUUCAUAAUUUGUUGGCAUCACUAUCUGAACAAUCAAAGGGUCACAAAAUCUAUAAUUUUAAUAGCCGAUAUGGUGCGUUUGCUCGUUUAACGGUAUAGAAUAGUUCAAAUCAACUAAAUUUUUGUUAAAAAAUUCUUUAAACUAUUUAAAAUAAGAUCUAGACUCUAGAUCCCAAAUAUAAAAAUUGUAUCAUCACUUUUUGAAGGAUAUUCAUUUUCAGCCAUUCAUUUUUCUAUUCACUUGAUGGACAAAAGAACAAUAUCGAAAAUGUGUGAAAUUUGAUUUCUAGAUAGUUUAAAUAAUUUAGAUCAUGUUUAACGGUGCCGAUCAUCAAUUUGAAAACUCUAUCAUCGAAAAUAAAUUGGUAGUAAACUGAGCCGUUUACUACCGAUAGUAUUCUAGCAAAACUCUCUCUCUCUCUCUCCUAUAUAUAUAUAUAUAUAUAUAUAUAUAUAUAUAUAUAUUA
Molecule: long non-coding RNA, 1854 nt
Filed under: Ananas comosus (pineapple)
Lineage: Eukaryota; Viridiplantae; Streptophyta; Magnoliopsida; Poales; Bromeliaceae
Description: long non-coding RNA (ACOM_LNC008382)
Source: RNAcentral